Molecule: ribosomal RNA, 887 nt
Filed under: Neofabraea kienholzii
Lineage: Eukaryota; Fungi; Ascomycota; Leotiomycetes; Helotiales; Dermateaceae
Description: partial large subunit ribosomal RNA
Rfam family: Eukaryotic large subunit ribosomal RNA
Source: RNAcentral
CAUAGCGAGGAAAGAACCAACAGGGAUUACCUCAGUAACGGCGAGUGAAGCGGUAACAGCUCAAAUUUGAAAUCUGGGUCUUUCAGGCUCCGAGUUGUAAUUUGUAGAAGAUGCUUCGGGUGCGGCUCCGGUCUAAGUUCCUUGGAACAGGACGUCAUAGAGGGUGAGAAUCCCGUAUGUGAUCGGUUGCUUGCGCCCAUGUGAAGCUCUUUCGACGAGUCGAGUUGUUUGGGAAUGCAGCUCCAAAUGGGUGGUAUAUUUCAUCUAAAGCUAAAUAUUGGCCAGAGACCGAUAGCGCACAAGUAGAGUGAUCGAAAGAUGAAAAGCACUUUGGAAAGAGAGUUAAACAGUACGUGAAAUUGUUGAAAGGGAAGCGCUUGCAACCAGACUUGCGUGUCGUCGAUCAUCCGGGGUUCUCCCCGGUGCACUCGGCUUCACUCAGGCCAGCAUCGGUUUCGGUGGUUGGAUAAAGGCCUUGGGAAUGUAGCUCCUCUCGGGGAGUGUUAUAGCCCUCGGUGCAAUGCAGCCUACCGGGACCGAGGACCGCGCUUCGGCUAGGAUGCUGGCGUAAUGGUUGUAAGCGACCCGUCUUGAAACACGGACCAAGGAGUCUAACAUCUAUGCGAGUGUUUGGGUGUCAAACCCAUACGCGUAAUGAAAGUGAACGGAGGUGAGAACCCUUAAGGGUGCAUCAUCGACCGAUCCUGAUGUCUUCGGAUGGAUUUGAGUAAGAGCAUAGCUGUUGGGACCCGAAAGAUGGUGAACUAUGCCUGAAUAGGGUGAAGCCAGAGGAAACUCUGGUGGAGGCUCGCAGCGGUUCUGACGUGCAAAUCGAUCGUCAAAUUUGGGUAUAGGGGCGAAAGACUAAUCGAACCAUCUAGUAGCUG